CGGCUCAUUUAUAAAGGAGAAAGAAAAUGAGUAAAACGAGAUGAAAAUGAUGUUUUAUCUAUUUGAUCCCUUCAGACGCAUCCUAAUUGUUACUCACUGACACAUGAAUUUAUAUUUCCUCCAGAUUACCCGUCUAACCGUUGACCCAGGAUCAGAUAAGAUGGUAUCUCUCUCAUUCCUACAGCUGAAGCAGUGAGAGUGGAGAAAAUUAUCACCAUGUACACAUGUACUUGUGCUGAUGAAGAUUGUUUUCACAGGGGGAUGCCAGAACAGGCAACUUCAGGAUUCAAGCAUACAAGAAUUUUAAUGUUUUAUGAAUAAUUUUACUCUUUCCUGGGAUAAUGUCAGAUAUUUCAAUACAUAGGG
Molecule: long non-coding RNA, 366 nt
Organism: Melanotaenia boesemani (Boeseman's rainbowfish)
Lineage: Eukaryota; Metazoa; Chordata; Actinopteri; Atheriniformes; Melanotaeniidae
Exons: 2
Source: RefSeq, a predicted model, not a curated record